GAUGAAGAACGUAGUGAAAUGCGAUAAGUAGUGUGAAUUGCAGAAUUCAGUGAAUCAUCGAAUCUUUGAACGCACAUUGCGCCCCUUGGUAUUCCAUGGGGCAUGCUUGUUCGAGCGUCAUUUGUACUCUCAAGCUCUGCUUGGUGUUGGGUGUUUGUCCUUUCCCUGCGUUAGGACUCGCCUCAAAUUCAUUGGCAGCCGAUAUAUUGGUUUGAAGCGCAGCACAAUUUGCGAUUCGGGCUGGUUAUUGUUGGCGUCCAGUAAGCACAUUUAACACUUUUGACCUCGGAUCAAGUAGGGAUACCCACUGAACUUAAGCAUAUCAAUAAGCGGAGGA
This 337-nucleotide unclassified non-coding RNA is filed under the name soil metagenome. RNAcentral's name for it is "partial contains 5.8S ribosomal RNA, internal transcribed spacer 2, and large subunit ribosomal RNA". The stretch from base 1 to 120 matches the Rfam family "5.8S ribosomal RNA", at positions 35 to 154 of the family's 154-position model. The record is from RNAcentral.